AUUGAACGCUGGCGGCAUGCUUUACACAUGCAAGUCGAACGGCAGCGCGGGCUUCGGCCUGGCGGCGAGUGGCGAACGGGUGAGUAAUGCAUCGGAACGUGCCCAGUAGUGGGGGAUAGCCCGGCGAAAGCCGGAUUAAUACCGCAUACGACCUGAGGGUGAAAGCGGGGGACCGAAAGGCCUCGCGCUAUUUGAGCGGACGAUGUCGGAUUAGCUAGUUGGUGGGGUAAAGGCUUACCAAGGCGACGAUCCAUAGCUGGUCUGAGAGGACGACCAGCCACACUGGGACUGAGACACGGCCCAGACUCCUACGGGAGGCAGCAGUGGGGAAUUUUGGACAAUGGGGGCAACCCUGAUCCAGCCAUGCCGCGUGCGGGAAGAAGGCCUUCGGGUUGUAAACCGCUUUUGUUCGGGAAGAAAUCCUCUGGGCUAAUACCCCGGGGGGAUGACGGUACCGGAAGAAUAAGCACCGGCUAACUACGUG
This 484-nucleotide ribosomal RNA is filed under the name uncultured bacterium. RNAcentral's name for it is "partial 16S ribosomal RNA". It matches the Rfam family "Bacterial small subunit ribosomal RNA", at positions 29 to 507 of the family's 1533-position model. The record is from RNAcentral.